UUCAAAUGUCAUACUACCAGUAUGAAAAGGAUCAUUGCAUGUCUUGAAAAUAUUUUUGACUUAUUAUAUAUUUUGAAAAAGGAACCUGAAACAUCCAUGUAGUGUAAGAGUUGUGUUUUGUGAGGGCCUUUACUUUGCUGGCACUGUUAAAAACAAUGCCCUAUGACUUAGUUUUUUUGGUGAUUACUUAAACCCCCGGCAAAGGGGGAGCCAAAAUUGUUCGAAAGAACAACAUAGAAGUGAAAAUUAUAGUACUUCAUUGAAUUUCAAUUUUAUUGGACCCACGUCUGGAUGUUGUUACAACUGAAAUUUAUUUUGUAUAAUUCACAAAUUGAAGUGUGAGCUCAAUUAUAAAUUACUGAAUUGCCCACACCUCCACUCCUUGUGGUCUCCUCUGGGAAUAAAAGGAAAACUGACAUCUAUGUCCCUACAUCUUGUGUUUCCCUGGUGCCCUUCACACGCUGUUAAAUUAUUAUCUUUUUAACUUCUUUAGUAGGGAAGGAUGUGUACCUUAUACCUGUAUUGCUACCAUAAAGUACUACGUCAAACAUUCGGUACCUGGACAAUAGUUAGGACACUUGUCCGGGGUCUUACAUUCAUUGAGGAGUUUGAAUUAACUAUUGCAUAUGUACUUGAAUGUGCAUUUGAGAGGUGCCAGGGUCUUACAUUCAUGGAGGAGUUUGAAUUAACUAUUUGAUAUGUACUUGAAUGUGCAUUUUGAGAAGUGUAUUACACUGGGACGCCGUUGACCAUAAAAAUGAACAAAAGGGUUCAAAAAUAUGAAUAUUUUUACAUGCCUUGUUCAGGGUAUGUUAAGGAAUCUAUGACCAAGGAUUCCGUUUCAUUUCUCUCUUCUUUGUAUUUCGAUUAUUCUUUGAUCCCUCUUCUUUGGCACUACAAUAGAUCAAGAAAAUCACGCGAGAUGAGUUUAUUAGAAAGUUGAGAUUGAUAGUAGGGGAUCAGCUGUUGAAGUCAUCUAUAAUUGGUCUCCAAUCCAAGGUAAGACCUGACACAUCCCGACUCUUGAAAUUAUUUUUAGUUAAAUGUUCUUUCUCCCCACCCACAAAAAAAAAAAAUUGGAAAAAGUAAAAAAUAUCAAACUACUUUCCAAUUUGGAAAUGAAAGGGGUGCAGUCUUGGAUGACGGUCUGCAUCGUUAGAUGAUUCCACCAAUAAUGCUUGAAGGUUUAUGGAACAGCGAGGAACUUUUUUAAAACCUAAUGUUCAAAUGAAAGGAAUGCGGUCUUGGAUGACAGUGCAUUGUUAGAUGAUUCCACUGAUAACGCUGGAAGGUUUUUGGAGCAACGAGGAACUUUUUUAAACCUAAUGUUCACCAUAAGUACCUUUCACAUAUUUUUGGGCUAAGUUUACAUUAUGCAAUUCUUAAACCUUUAUUAUGAUAAUGUAUUGAUAAGGUGGUGUUAUAUCUUGGGAUCAAAACGACACCAGCAAUUCAUUUGUCAGAUUGUUCUACUUUUUAAUUUUGAUAUCCAUUCUUAUUUUUUGGACUGACCCUUUUUGGCUUGUACAUUAGUGUUGUGGGAACAAAUUCUGGAUGUUAUAAAAUUGUCACGGUCUUGGAAAUUUGAAAUUUCACUCUGUAUUUUGCUGGUUAUUUUUGCAGAUUCUGUUUCAAAUGUCAUACUACCAGUAUGAAAAGGAUCAUUGCAUGUCUUGAAAAUAUUUUUGACUUAUUAUAUAUUUUGAAAAAGGAACCUGAAACAUCCAUGUAGUGUAAGAGUUGUGUUUUGUGAGGGCCUUUACUUUGCUGGCACUGUUAAAAACAAUGCCCUAUGACUUAGUUUUUUUGGUGAUUACUUAAACCCCCGGCAAAGGGGGAGCCAAAAUUGUUCGAAAGAACAACAUAGAAGUGAAAAUUAUAGUACUUCAUUGAAUUUCAAUUUUAUUGGACCCACGUCUGGAUGUUGUUACAACUGAAAUUUAUUUUGUAUAAUUCACAAAUUGAAGUGUGAGCUCAAUUAUAAAUUACUGAAUUGCCCACACCUCCACUCCUUGUGGUCUCCUCUGGGAAUAAAAGGAAAACUGACAUCUAUGUCCCUACAUCUUGUGUUUCCCUGGUGCCCUUCACACGCUGUUAUCAGCAAUUGGACAUUAAUGUUUAAGACAACAAAUAAAUUUUUCAACUCGUUCGUUUUUCUUGCUUAAUGCUUUUUAGUGUCGUCCAAUUCAAUAUACCAAACAUGUAAGUAUAGCCAAGGAUGACAUUUUUGUUCAUGGACUGUCAGUACGGUGCCUAGGUUUCUCAUGCAACAUGGUUAUUGAACUUGUCAUAAGCACAAACAUAGUACUUUGCGGUGGACAAUCUUGUCGCGUGGACGACUUGCCUGCCUUGUGCUAUUGUCGUCGAGAUUGCAUUUAGCCACAUGCAACUCGAGAUGCAGAUUUAUUUGGAGGUCAUGUUAGACAUUCUCUUUAACUGUUUUAUUAUUUACUUUUUGCAGCUAAUAUUUUUGAUAAAUUUACUCCAAAUGUGUGUGAUUUCAAACAUGGAAUUUGUAUGGAAAUAAAAUAAAUUCUAGGUAAUUCAAUUGUUUAGAAUUUAUUUGCAUGAAAAUUAUCAAUUAAAUCUGUUUGAUUGAUUUAAUUUUCAACAUAGAAAAUGUUAUAUUUGUUCAUUUUUAUUGGCGGGUAAAUAAGAGAGAGAAUUUCCUAAAAAAUAAAAUUCUUCUCCUUUUAAAGAAAAUAUGGUCACAUGAUCAAAAGUAGAAAAAUAUUUUUUAUGGAAAAAUGACAAUCAAACAGACAAAAGUAGGAAUUUUAGUAGAAAAACAUGUUUUUAAUGAAAAAUAAUGACAAUCAAACGUACCUAAUAUUAUUUUUUGAGAUAAUUUCAAUGCUAGUUAGGCCUUUAAUUAUAUUGACAAAAUUGUUAGAUGGUUGAGCUAGACACGCAGCUUGUGCAUUCCCGGACUAAAGGGGCGCGUAUUUUAAACGAGGGCUUAUGUACCAUCGGUGCACUUAUUUUGAAAUAUGGAGAAAACUAAUUUAUACUCUAUUUUGUAGGUUGAGGAUCGGAUUGUUACUAUAUCAAUAGAUGCGGGGACAGAACAUCAAAUUUGCCCCAGUAAGCACUGGUGUACUUUCAUGAAAGAAAAUAGUAUUAUCUAGCUACAUUGUCAAUUUAGAUCGUUCUAAGUGAUAGGUUUGAUGAAAGGUAAAAUAAGUGAUUCAUUUAAUAAUACAUUUCAUUUAAAGUUAUAUUAGUAUUAAUUAAUUGGUGUUUUAACACUACUGG
RNAcentral lists this long non-coding RNA (3255 nucleotides) under Olea europaea (common olive). Its description in RNAcentral is "long non-coding RNA (OEUR_LNC002324)". The record is from RNAcentral. Lineage: Eukaryota; Viridiplantae; Streptophyta; Magnoliopsida; Lamiales; Oleaceae.